CCGGGAUGUUCAUAACCCUUUGUUGUCCGACUCUGUUGCCUCCGGGGCGACCCUGCCUUCGGGCGGGGGCUCCGGGUGGACACUUCAAACUCUUGCGUAACUUUGCAGUCUGAGUAAACUUAAUUAAUAAAUUAAAACUUUUAACAACGGAUCUCUUGGUUCUGGCAUCGAUGAAGAACGCAGCGAAAUGCGAUAAGUAAUGUGAAUUGCAGAAUUCAGUGAAUCAUCGAAUCUUUGAACGCACAUUGCGCCCCCUGGUAUUCCGGGGGGCAUGCCUGUUCGAGCGUCAUUUCACCACUCAAGCCUCGCUUGGUAUUGGGCAACGCGGUCCGCCGCGUGCCUCAAAUCGACCGGCUGGGUCUUCUGUCCCCUAAGCGUUGUGGAAACUAUUCGCUAAAGGGUGCUCGGGAGGCUACGCCGUAAAACAACCCCAUUUCUAAGGUUGACCUCGGAUCAGGUAGGGAUA
This 466-nucleotide unclassified non-coding RNA is filed under the name Cladosporium fuscoviride. RNAcentral's name for it is "sequence contains 18S rRNA gene, ITS1, 5.8S rRNA gene, ITS2". The stretch from base 136 to 289 matches the Rfam family "5.8S ribosomal RNA". Lineage: Eukaryota; Fungi; Ascomycota; Dothideomycetes; Cladosporiales; Cladosporiaceae. The record is from RNAcentral.